This 236-nucleotide ribosomal RNA is filed under the name Salmonella enterica subsp. enterica serovar Anatum. Its description in RNAcentral is "partial 23S ribosomal RNA". It matches the Rfam family "Bacterial large subunit ribosomal RNA", at positions 1284 to 1524 of the family's 2925-position model. The record is from RNAcentral. Lineage: Bacteria; Pseudomonadati; Pseudomonadota; Gammaproteobacteria; Enterobacterales; Enterobacteriaceae.
AGAAGUGCGAAUGCUGACAUAAGUAACGAUAAAGCGGGUGAAAAGCCCGCUCGCCGGAAGACCAAGGGUUCCUGUCCAACGUUAAUCGGGGCAGGGUGAGUCGACCCCUAAGGCGAGGCCGAAAGGCGUAGUCGAUGGGAAACGGGUUAAUAUUCCCGUACUUGGUGUUACUGCGAAGGGGGGACGGAGAAGGCUAUGUUGGCCGGGCGACGGUUGUCCCGGUUUAAGCGUGUAGG